UCAUUAAGUUUGGGGACGUCUAGCGAGACUGCCACGUGAUAAACUAGGAGGAAGGUAGGGGAGUGACGUCAAAUACAUCAUGCCCCUUACUGACCUGGGCGUACAAACGUAGAUACAAUGGCUGGAACAAAGGGAUGCGAAGCAGUGAUGUGGAGCGAAACCCAUAAAAACAGUCUCAGUUCGGAUUGAAGUCUGCAACUCGACUUCAUGAAGUCGGAAUCGCUAGUAACCGCAGAUCAGCUACGUUGCGGUGAAUACGUUCCCGGGCCUU
RNAcentral lists this ribosomal RNA (271 nucleotides) under uncultured Acholeplasma sp. RNAcentral describes it as "partial 16S ribosomal RNA". It matches the Rfam family "Bacterial small subunit ribosomal RNA", at positions 1122 to 1382 of the family's 1533-position model. Lineage: Bacteria; Bacillati; Mycoplasmatota; Mollicutes; Acholeplasmatales; Acholeplasmataceae. The record is from RNAcentral.